This 444-nucleotide ribosomal RNA is filed under the name uncultured prokaryote. RNAcentral's name for it is "bacterial SSU rRNA". It matches the Rfam family "Bacterial small subunit ribosomal RNA", at positions 339 to 774 of the family's 1533-position model. The record is from RNAcentral.
CCACGGGUGGCUGCAGUGAGGAAUAUUGCGCAAUGGGGGCAACCCUGACGCAGCAACGCCGCGUGAGUGAGGAAGGUUUUCGGACCGUAAAGCUCUGUCGAGCGGGAAGAAAUGUAUCGUGGCUAAUAUCCAUGAUAUUUGACGGUACCGCUAAAGGAAGCACCGGCUAACUCCGUGCCAGCAGCCGCGGUAAUACGGGGGGUGCAAGCGUUGUUCGGAAUUAUUGGGCGUAAAGAGCGUGUAGGCGGCUGAAUAAGUCAGAUGUGAAAUCCCUGGGCUUAACCCAGGAAGUGCAUUUGAAACUAUUCAGCUGGAGUAGGGGAGAGGAAAGUGGAAUUCCUGGUGUAGAGGUGAAAUUCGUAGAUAUCAGGAGGAACACCGGUGGCGAAGGCGACUUUCUGGCCCUAUACUGACGCUGAGACGCGAGAGCGUGGGUAGCAAACA